Molecule: ribosomal RNA, 252 nt
Filed under: uncultured bacterium
Lineage: Bacteria
Description: partial 16S ribosomal RNA
Rfam family: Bacterial small subunit ribosomal RNA
Source: RNAcentral
UACGGAGGAUGCGAGCGUUAUCCGGAUUUAUUGGGUCUAAAGGGUGCGUAGGCGGGAUGCCAAGUCAGCGGUAAAAAUGCGGUGCUCAACGCCGUCGAGCCGUUGAAACUGGCGUUCUUGAGUGGGCGAGAAGUAUGCGGAAUGCGUGGUGUAGCGGUGAAAUGCAUAGAUAUCACGCGGAACUCCGAUUGCGAAGGCAGCAUACCGGCGCCCUACUGGCGCUGAGGCACGAAAGCGUGGGUAUCGAACAGG